UCAAUUUCUACAAGAUAAAGCCUCUCUCUGCUCUUGCUUUGAAGUGCUUGUAAAACCACCUGUUUUACUGUACACAUGUGAGCAGACACAGAGAAUGGCCAAAUGCAGGGAAAGGAUUGGAAGAAUUCCUGUCAGCACUGUGUGGUUUUAGAUCAGGGUCAAAAUUCCCAGACUACUGAUGGAUCCCACCAGCCUCUGAAGGAAGUGGAGCAUCUGCUUGGAAGAGAAAGGUCCUGGCCUGAGCAGCUGUAAUCCUGAGCCUAACUGGGACCCUGAAGCUGGGAAAAGCAUUGUGCAAGUCCCCAGAAGGUUCUGUUGAGCAGGCAGCCUUUUGGACUGUGACUGUGGGAUCAUUAUCAAACCCCUCUCCAGUAUGGUUUAUGUGCUUCAUUUUUAAAGCACCACUCUCACAGCUGUGGAGCUUAACAGUUCUGAUAUGUCAUUUAUUUCUGUGCUUAGCUGGGAGGAUUUAUCUCCUGCACAGUUUGAUAGCAGUGCCUUGGCAUUCUGGGUGGGCUGGAGAGCCUGCUUUGUGCUCUGGAAAACCUGGAGGGACUCACUCUGGGCACAAUUCCAUUUGUUCUGUCCAGGUUGUUGUGAGUCCACUGCUCUCCACACCCACCGCAUUUGGUUUAAAACAUCUCAGGUCUCACUUCAGGUACAUUCAGUGGACAGAUAAGAGUGUUACUCCAGGGAUUUUAUGUCUGUUUGUCCAAAGAAUUUAAGUUUUCCCAUGAAGCACACCAGGGAUAAUCAAAUAUGGGACGUGUUCUGUAUAUGGGGCAUUGAAUCAAACAGGAUUUUUCAGCCUGGAAAAGGGAUGACUUUAGGGGGUAUAGCAGAGCUGCUCAGUUGUGAGUGGCAUGCAGAAAGUGAAUUUGGGAUGUUUAUUUUCUGUUCUUUUCAGUACAGAGCUUAACAGAACCUUUUGGGGUUGGGAGGGAAUGGGGAGGGAGGGGAAGCCACAAAAAAAAGCCAUUAAAAACCCCUCCCAACAACAAAAAAACCCUCAAACUCAACAAAUAAAUUCAACAAACAAAAAAAUAAGCCCCUAUCUUCAAAGUCACAUAAUUAAGGCUCUGCUUAACUCUUCCCAGAAUAAAUAUUUUUUUGUUUGAGUUGCUAAACUCUUCUUAAAUUCUUAAGACCUUUUAUUUCUUUAUUUUAUUUUCUUGGUAUAUUAGUUUAUUAUUUCCCAUGUUCUGUUUCUGGCAUCAUUUUAAUUUCACUUCUCUGUUUGUCUCUACAAUACCCCAAACAAGUACUCUUAAUCUUAACCUUUUCUUUGCCUAAUGACACUUUUCAGAUUUAAACUGCUUGUGCUGAUUUCCCAUAUUGUUUGUUCUGGACUUUGGGGGCAAUGCCUUCCCCCAUCCCCAUCCUGCCCUCAGAAACCCCAACAGGCCCUUCUGCUUUCAUUUCUAAUCCACCCACUGGGAUUUAUUCCACAAGAGGCUCUAAACCAAAAUGCUCACUCAAUAAACAAAAUACCAUGGUGGCAACUUGAUAGACCAACUAAAGAAGCUUAAUUUUUAAAAAUGUGCUUUUGUUUCCUGUAGACAUUUUGUGCAGCAGUCAUUAAGUGGAGUGCACAUGGCUGCAGUCAGAUGAUGAGGAAUGAGAAGGCACACCAACAUCUGGGCAUGGCUUUGGCAACCUGUAGGUUUAUUAGCUGGUUAGAAAUAAAAGAUGAAGACACA
This is a long non-coding RNA of Passer domesticus (house sparrow), 1700 nucleotides long. RefSeq lists it as uncharacterized. The transcript is spliced from 3 exons. The record is from RefSeq and is a predicted model, not a curated record. NCBI's taxonomy places the organism in Eukaryota, Metazoa, Chordata, Aves, Passeriformes, Passeridae.